RNAcentral lists this ribosomal RNA (1002 nucleotides) under Botrytis cinerea. RNAcentral describes it as "SSU rRNA". It matches the Rfam family "Eukaryotic small subunit ribosomal RNA", at positions 87 to 1097 of the family's 1831-position model. Lineage: Eukaryota; Fungi; Ascomycota; Leotiomycetes; Helotiales; Sclerotiniaceae. The record is from RNAcentral.
CUGCGAAUGGCUCAUUAAAUCAGUUAUCGUUUAUUUGAUAGUACCUUACUACAUGGAUAACCGUGGUAAUUCUAGAGCUAAUACAUGCUAAAAACCUCGACUUCGGAAGGGGUGUAUUUAUUAGAUAAAAAACCAAUGCCCUUCGGGGCUCCCUGGUGAUUCAUAAUAACUUAACGAAUCGCAUGGCCUUGUGCCGGCGAUGGUUCAUUCAAAUUUCUGCCCUAUCAACUUUCGAUGGUAGGAUAGUGGCCUACCAUGGUUUCAACGGGUAACGGGGAAUUAGGGUUCUAUUCCGGAGAAGGAGCCUGAGAAACGGCUACUACAUCCAAGGAAGGCAGCAGGCGCGCAAAUUACCCAAUCCCGACACGGGGAGGUAGUGACAAUAAAUACUGAUACAGGGCUCUUUUGAGUCUUGUAAUUGGAAUGAGUACAAUUUAAAUACCUUAACGAGGAACAAUUGGAGGGCAAGUCUGGUGCCAGCAGCCGCGGUAAUUCCAGCUCCAAUAGCGUAUAUUAAAGUUGUUGCAGUUAAAAAGCUCGUAGUUGAACCUUGGGCCUGGUUGGCCGGUCCGCCUCACCGCGUGCACUGGUCCGACCGGGUCUUUCCUUCUGGGGAGCCGCAUGCCCUUCACUGGGUGUGUCGGGGAACCAGGACUUUUACUUUGAAAAAAUUAGAGUGUUCAAAGCAGGCCUAUGCUCGAAUACAUUAGCAUGGAAUAAUAGAAUAGGACGUGUGGUUCUAUUUUGUUGGUUUCUAGGACCGCCGUAAUGAUUAAUAGGGAUAGUCGGGGGCAUCAGUAUUCAAUUGUCAGAGGUGAAAUUCUUGGAUUUAUUGAAGACUAACUACUGCGAAAGCAUUUGCCAAGGAUGUUUUCAUUAAUCAGUGAACGAAAGUUAGGGGAUCGAAGACGAUCAGAUACCGUCGUAGUCUUAACCAUAAACUAUGCCGACUAGGGAUCGGGCGAUGUUAUCUUUUUGACUCGCUCGGCACCUCACGAGAAA